RNAcentral lists this ribosomal RNA (326 nucleotides) under Cercozoa sp. Its description in RNAcentral is "SSU rRNA". The stretch from base 112 to 326 matches the Rfam family "Eukaryotic small subunit ribosomal RNA", at positions 739 to 955 of the family's 1831-position model. RNAcentral also lists the same sequence under 1 other name. The record is from RNAcentral. Lineage: Eukaryota; Cercozoa.
GAUUUCUGGUGUGGUGCGCCGAGCCCGCGACCGUUUAGGUCGUGAGUGCUUGCUGUGCGCCUACCAUCCUUCUGGAGAGAACUAUCUGCCCUUAACUGGAACGGGUAGUUUCGAUCCGGAUCGUUUACUUUGAAAAAAUUAGAGUGUUUAAAGCAGGCGUUAGCUAUGAAUACAUUAGCAUGGAAUAAUAAGAUAGGACUUUGGUUCUAUUUUGUUGGUUUCUAGGACUGAAGUAAUGAUUGAUAGGGACAGUUGGGGGUGCUAGUAUUUAACGGCCAGAGGUGAAAUUCUUGGAUUCGUUAAAGACUAACUUAUGCGAAAGCAUU